Molecule: ribosomal RNA, 253 nt
Filed under: uncultured bacterium
Lineage: Bacteria
Description: partial 16S ribosomal RNA
Rfam family: Bacterial small subunit ribosomal RNA
Source: RNAcentral
UACGUAGGGUGCGAGCGUUAAUCGGAAUUACUGGGCGUAAAGCGUGCGCAGGCGGUUCGUUAAGUCAGAUGUGAAAGCCCCGAGCUUAACUUGGGAAUGGCAUUUGAAACUGGCGGGCUGGAGUGUGGCAGAGGGGGGUGGAAUUCCACGUGUAGCAGUGAAAUGCGUAGAGAUGUGGAGGAAUACCGAUGGCGAAGGCAGCCCCCUGGGAUAACACUGACGCUCAUGCACGAAAGCGUGGGGAGCAAACAGG